UCGACAGCGUAGCCAGCCAGCCUGUGAGGCCUGGAGGACGGCAGGGCCUGUGGGAAAUCUUGGCCUGAGGAGACCCUUAGGCAAGACGGGUCGGCGGGCCUGAGGCUGGGUGAGGCUGCUGAGGCCCACGGGAUGCCCAGACCGCCCCCUGCCGGUCCGCGGGCCACUGCAGGGCAGUGCUGCACAGGCUGCGUCGCCCUCUGCUGGUAGCACAGGGUUAAAGGUGGAGUCCUGGGGGGCUGAUGAGGUUGUAGAGCAGAGAUGACGCAGCCGGAUUGCUGAGGCCCAGGGAAGGGGGCGGGGACACGACGAGUCCUCUCUGUGGGAUCUGAGGUUGGAGAAGGGGAGGAGCGCCACAGAAUCCCUGAAAUACCACACUAGGCUUCUGCUCUAACCUCAUUCUUCCCUCACCACGUCCAGGAUGCGCUGACGCCAAACACCUACCAAGUGAUGGCAUCCAAGGAUGACAUAAGCCGCAGUUUGUCAUCACCGGAGUUUAGUAUCCUCCAGGGGAAGCGUGAGCAAAUGGGCCAAAAUUUCAACGAUUAUACUGAACAGGAAUGGAGAAAAUGGAUAUCCUUGUCUCAUUACUGAUAUCUUUGUCUCGUUUUAUCAUCAAGCAUUCAAAGCAGUAACAAACUCUGCAUUGGGUGGACAGUGUUUAUAAGUAAUGUCAUAGGAGGAGGUGGCUAGGAGGAUGCUGAAGUUGGCUUCUGCUGCAGCAUUCAUCUGCAACCUAGUGGAGGAAGAAUGGGCCAUGAUCUCACACACGUGGUUGUGAGGAGGGAGAAAAAUAUGCUUUACUGUACCCCACUGCUUAUGUCAACCCUACCUUAUAGGAGGCAGGAAAGCUUGGAAAACCCAGAGCAAUGCAGGGCCAAAAGGUUGGCCAGGACAGUGAUGAGCAAUGUCAAGCCUGGUGCUCCUGCAGUCUCUAGGUUGGGUUCCAGACCCCACCGACUGCAGGGAAUAGGGCGCUGGGCAGAACUUGACCUGCAUAAACACUGGGACAGGACAGCAGGAAGAUUUGAGACCUUAGAACUUGCUGAACUUGCUCCCCUGAGGCCUGUGGAUGCUGCCACUCUCUAAGAUAUUCUUAUUAACAAUCCUCUUGGGUUGCAAGUGGUGAUCCAGAUCUUUAAUUCCAGCACUCAGGAGGCAGAGGCAGGUGGAUGUCUGUGAGAUCCAGUCCAGCCUGGUCUACAAGGUGAGUUCCACAUCAGCUGGGGCUACAAGGAGACCAAUUUUUUAAAAAAUUCCGUUGGGUUGUGGUGGCACAUACCUUUAAUGCCAGCCCUUGGGAGGCAGAGAAUGAGGAGCUCUGUGAGAUCAAGGCAAGCCUGGUCUACAUAGUGAUGAAACUGUGACAGUCACCCUGUAGAGACCUGAAAAGAAGCUGGAAAAUCCUUUCCUUCACCAUGCAAAUGAGUAACACUGAAAACAUUCUUCACCCUUUCCCUGUGAUCUCCAAGAUUAGCAGUUGAAUACCUGGAGCUUUACUAACAACUUUGAUUUUCAAGGUGACCAGCCAGGAAUUCUGUGGUUGCCUCAGGAAAUGGAUCAUGAAGUCUGCCAAGCCAGGAGCUCAAUGUAUCCUGCACCAUACUGUUCUCAGCACUAGAGAACAGUCUUCCAAUUUGUGAACUCAAAAAUCUCUUGUCUUCCAGAAAUCAAUGUUAGAGGUGCUUUCAGGUAAAGCAUAAAAAAAAUUCCUUAAAAAAAUGCACAGGAAGGGAAUAUGCAGAAAUUUUAGGAUACAAUGGAAAAGUCAAAUCCAGGAACUAUGGCUAUAGGAGAAAGAAGGCCAGGACAAUGGCACAGAUAAGGUUUUGAAUAAAAUGAUGGAAGAAAAUUUCAAAAACCUAGAGAAAAACGUUCUCAUCUAAAUACAAGAAGCCAACAGAACACCAAAGAGGCAGAACCAGAAAAGAAGCUUUCCAUGACAUAUUAUAAACACCAAAAACAGAGACUAAAUGAAGGUACAGAAAGCUACAAGGUGAGAAAGGCGGGGUUGCAUAUAAAGGAAGACCCCUUAGAUUGCAUCAGAUUAUUCAGCAGAAACUUUUAAAGAGGAAGUAGUGCACCACUGCCAAUUUCGACUGUUUAACUCCACAAAACUUUCUAGUACAAUUGAAGAAGAAAAACAGUUUCCAUAAUACAGACUUAAAGAAUACAUGACCACUAAUCCAGCUCCACAGAGAACACUAGAAGAUGGCUAGAAACAUAAGAAAAGGGAUAAACACAUCCAGAUGGCACAGGGAAAAACUUAAUUUCAUAAAGUGUUUUAAAAAAAAAAAAGGCCUAAGAAAACAACAUGAAAUCAGUAAGAGGAAUUAAGACAAAUUUUAAAUAACAGAAUAUUAAUGGUCACAAUUCCCCUAAUCAAAAGACACAGAGUAUUAGGGUUUCAAACAGCAGCAGCUCCCCCUGCUCCCCAAGAGGGUCCUAUGGACUUUGGAUUUUUGAAGCCUGAAAAAGGUAACUGAGCUGAUAAGCACCUUGGCCUUUGAAGUC
Molecule: long non-coding RNA, 2514 nt
Organism: Nannospalax galili (Upper Galilee mountains blind mole rat)
Lineage: Eukaryota; Metazoa; Chordata; Mammalia; Rodentia; Spalacidae
Exons: 4
Source: RefSeq, a predicted model, not a curated record